ACACCCUCAAGCUCUGCUUGGUGUUGGGCGUCUGUCCCGCCUCUGCGCGUGGACUCGCCCCAAAGUCAUUGGCAGCGGUCUUUGCCUCCUCUCGCGCAGCACAUUGCGCUUCUAGAGCGACGGCGGCCCGCGUCCACGAAGCACUUCUUGUCU
This 153-nucleotide unclassified non-coding RNA is filed under the name uncultured Coniothyrium. RNAcentral's name for it is "sequence contains ITS2". Lineage: Eukaryota; Fungi; Ascomycota; Dothideomycetes; Pleosporales; Leptosphaeriaceae. The record is from RNAcentral.